CAUGUACUCCCUCCGUCCCAUAUUAAGUGGCUUUCUAUUACAUGUAUCUAGACGUUUUUAGGCAUAGAUACAUUCAUAUUUGGUCAAAUUUGAGUCAGUUAAUAUGGGACGGAGGGAGUAACAG
Non-coding RNA from Brachypodium distachyon (stiff brome), 124 nucleotides. The record is from Rfam. Lineage: Eukaryota; Viridiplantae; Streptophyta; Magnoliopsida; Poales; Poaceae.